RNAcentral lists this small nucleolar RNA (56 nucleotides) under Otolemur garnettii (small-eared galago). Its description in RNAcentral is "Small nucleolar RNA SNORD58". It matches the Rfam family "Small nucleolar RNA SNORD58". From Rfam's summary of the family: snoRNA U58 is found in introns 1, 3 and 6 of the ribosomal protein RPL17 gene in humans. The record is from Rfam by way of RNAcentral. Lineage: Eukaryota; Metazoa; Chordata; Mammalia; Primates; Galagidae.
UUGCAGUGAUGCCUCUCUUAGGACACCUUUGGAUUUACCGUUAAAUUCUGAGCAGC